UACGCAUCGGCCACCCUCUUACGCACUGGCCACCCUUGCUUUCUCCCGCUUUACCCGCGCCCGCCCUCCGCUCCGGCCGCCUUGCCGUCCUUCCCGUCGUCGACGUGUUCGGCGAGGGCUAUAGUUUCCCCCUCUCGCGCGCCAACUUCAUUGGCAUUUGGUACCCUCUUGAAGGACCUCGUCUUCUUCUAUGCUCUCCUCGGCGCCUAGCGGUCACCCACCAGCUCUUCGACGCUAUGCCCUGCCGGUAGCCUUUCCUUCGCCAGGGCCGUCGUCGACCAGAAUGCCGUUUCGUGGACGCAUAUGGUAGUCGUGUACUGCAAGGCCGGUGCCGUCGUUUCUGCUAGGUAACUGUUCGACAGACUGCCUGAGAAGAACCUGGUUUUGUUGACCACUAAAGUUAACGAGGGAUGACUAAAGAGGCGCUUGCGCGAGUUGAAAUGGCAGAAGAUAGAGCCAGACGCAGCCACUGUGGUCUGCAUCAUCUCCGCCUCUGUUCAGCUGCGAAUUGUGGAGCUGCUGAUCUGAGUUGGAUCGUAUGUCAAUAGCAAGAAGAACGAGAGGAACGAGCACGAUGCACUUGUGGACAUGCAUGCCAAGUGAGGCAACAUCAAGAAAGCUUUGUGCACAUUCGAAGAGAUUCCUUCCCUGGAUGCACACUCAAUCGCCGAGCUCAUAGACGGGAUAACAUCCCGUGGACUCAAAAUGAUGGCGCUCGACAUCUUUGACAUACUGCGAAGGGAGAUGAUGAUGCCAGAUUGCAUCACAUUUGUCAGGAGUUCUGGGAAAGCAUUGUUUGCAGCUAUGGCAUGGAGCAGAGAGCCGACAGCAUUUCUUGCAUCACGGACAUGCUUGGAUGGGCAAGGUGGCUUAAGGAAGCACAUAAGAUAAUUCAGAGCUCCACAUAUUUGACACAAUGCGCUGGGAGGUGAUCAAGCCAGUCUGUAUCAUGUUUGUCAGCACGCUGAGUGCCUGGAGCCAUUCAAAGCUUGUCACACAAAGGGUUGGAAUUCUGUGAUUCCUUUUCUGCAUGGAUGUGCUGGGAGGCAUAGAGAAGCACAAAAGAUGGUUCAGAGUAUUCUAGUGUAGCCUCAUCCAGGAGCGCUAGUGGCAUUGCUUGCAGCUUGGAGGACUUGUGCCAAUACUGAGAUUGCAGAGAACUAACUGUUGAAGGUGGAACCAAGAACUAGGGAAACUGUAUGCUUCUGACAAUGAUAACAUUGCAAGAAUUAGAGCAAUGAUAAGAGAAAUUUCAACGAACUUCCAGGCUUGAGUUGGAUUGACAUUUAGCGGAGCUGCUGUAGAUUUCAGAAUAAGGUGUUGACAUGCAUCAAAUGCAGGACAGAUUAAUUUGUUGCCUUCUUUUCUGGUUAGUCUUACAACGAGAUGAUUGGUUGGUUAAGGCAAAGAGCAUUGAUGAUUUGAGCUGCCAGGGCAUACCUUGGUGUUAGAGUACUUUAAUUGUGCUUUUUUUUAAUGCAACAAGCAUCAACCAGCUGGGUGGCUAUCCAGGUGAGAAACCAUUUAUGAUACACAAUUGUAACCGGUCAGUCCAUAUUUUAUAUGUGGCAAAAUGAAACUAAGAUUAUGGAAUAGUCACACUAAAAUGGUUGCAUCAGUUUGUCAUUCAAAGUCUUUCUUUUGGUAUCAAAGAAAAUCUUUUUGUUCAUCUGGGAAAUCAAUGGUAUCAUGAAAAAUUCAAGGGGUUUAUAAGAAUCGUCCUAAAGUUGUAGAGCUUAUAAGAAUGGGCCAUGAUUCCAUGCAAAGUGACAGACUGUGUGGAACUGAAACUGUGUCUUGGAAUGUGAUUCUGAACUUGUCUUCUUCAUUUAUAAAAGAAUGAAAUGAGUGUAUUUCUAGAUUGUGAAUCUUCUUGAGCUCGAUCCGACAAGCUAGUUUCCAUGCAUAUGUGGAAAUUGGUCUUAUAUUAGUGUUCAUCUCAAAAUGCAGCUGAAACAACAAUUUAUUUCUUCAUUGAAUGCUAUCAAAAUUUAUAUCAGACGAUCUAAGUGGGCAACCAGCAAGGAACUGCAGUUGUGGGGCAUAUCAAGAAUUGUGUCUCAUGGAGUAUGGGAUGUUGCACCAUGGACUUCAGUUGCCAUGUAGACGUCUAUCUGAGGAUUGAUAUUUUUGCUAGAGGGUAACCUUUUUGACAGCUCAACAUUUUCUCGCCUUCUAAGGAUCAAACAUGAGGAAGUACUGUAGGGUUUAAUGUUGUCAAGAGGAGCAAUGAAAACAGAAGGAAGGAAGGAUAUCUCCAUUUAUAACCAGUGUUAAGCAUAGAGUUAUGUCUUUGGACUUGAUUGUUUUCUCUCUCUCUCUCUCUCUAUUAUUGCCAUUCGUGCUGCUGCUUCUGAAGCCAUUUCACCUCUGUGACAGUUAUCUCCCCCAAGUGGAGUCUAAUGAUGCCAAGUGAUGCUACAAGAUGUAAUCAAAAGAAGGGUGAAUCUUCCCAUUUAUAAUUAGGAUUAAGCAACAGAGUUUUAGCUUCCCACAAGAUUGUCCUCUAUCCUUCUUAUACUUCGUCGUCAUUGUUAAUUUUGCUGUAUUGUCAUCAUGAUGUACGAUCUUCGUUAUUAUCAUCAUGAUGUAUUGUUACCCUUCUUGCU
Long non-coding RNA from Musa acuminata AAA Group (dessert banana), 2609 nucleotides. RefSeq lists it as uncharacterized. The transcript is spliced from 3 exons. Lineage: Eukaryota; Viridiplantae; Streptophyta; Magnoliopsida; Zingiberales; Musaceae. The record is from RefSeq and is a predicted model, not a curated record.